UUCCGGUUGAUCCUGCCGGAGGCCACUGCUAUGGGGGUCCGACUAAGCCAUGCGAGUCAUGGGGCGCCUUGUGCGCACCGGCGGACGGCUCAGUAACACGUCGGUAACCUACCCUCGGGAGGGGGAUAACCCCGGGAAACUGGGGCUAAUCCCCCAUAGGCCUGAGGUACUGGAAGGUCCUCAGGCCGAAAGGGGCUCUGCCCGCCCGAGGAUGGGCCGGCGGCCGAUUAGGUAGUUGGUGGGUAACGGCCCACCAAGCCGAAGAUCGGUACGGGCCAUGAGAGUGGGAGCCCGGAGAUGGACACUGAGACACGGGUCCAGGCCCUACGGGGCGCAGCAGGCGCGAAACCUCCGCAAUGCGGGCAACCGCGACGGGGGGACCCCCAGUGCCGUGGCAUCGCCACGGCUUUUCCGGAGUGUAAAGAGCUCCGGGAAUAAGGGCUGGGCAAGGCCGGUGGCAGCCGCCGCGGUAAUACCGGCGGCCCGAGUGGUGGCCGCUAUUAUUGGGCCUAAAGCGUCCGUAGCCGGGCCCGUAAGUCCCUGGCGAAAUCCCACGGCUCAACCGUGGGGCUUGCUGGGGAUACUGCGGGCCUUGGGACCGGGAGAGGCGGAGGGUACCCCUGGGGUAGGGGUGAAAUCCUAUAAUCCCAGGAGGACCGCCAGUGGCGAAGGCGCUCCGCUGGAACGGGUCCGACGGUGAGGGACGAAGGCCAGGGGAGCGAACCGGAUUAGAUACCCGGGUAGUCCUGGCUGUAAAGGAUGCGGGCUAGGUGUCGGGCGAGCUUCGUGCUCGCCCGGUGCCGAAGGGAAGCCGUUAAGCCCGCCGCCUGGGGAGUACGGCCGCAAGGCUGAAACUUAAAGGAAUUGGCGGGGGAGCACUACAAGGGGUGGAGCGUGCGGUUUAAUUGGAAUCAACGCCGGA
This 922-nucleotide ribosomal RNA is filed under the name uncultured archaeon. RNAcentral describes it as "bacterial SSU rRNA". It matches the Rfam family "Archaeal small subunit ribosomal RNA", at positions 1 to 922 of the family's 1478-position model. The record is from RNAcentral.